Phragmites australis (common reed) is the source of this 908-nucleotide long non-coding RNA. RefSeq lists it as uncharacterized. The record is from RefSeq and is a predicted model, not a curated record. The transcript is spliced from 4 exons. Lineage: Eukaryota; Viridiplantae; Streptophyta; Magnoliopsida; Poales; Poaceae.
CGGACGGCUUCACGUGCGGCGCUCUCGGGCAUGCUCCAAGUCUCUAACCCCUAGCCCUCACCUCACCGAUCCGGUGGCACCCUGCUCGACUCCGGCGGCUCCGUGCUCGACUCUUGCUGCUCCUGCUCAUCCUCUCAUGCCGCUCACCUCCCCGAUCCGGCGGUCCUUUAGCGCCACUCGCCUCCCCGACUGGUGGCUCGCUACUCGAUCCCGGCGGUUGCUACUCCAGCAAUCGCGCCCCUCGCUGAUCCGGUAGCUCCUCUCCGACCCCAAAGGGUGGAUCUGAUCGGUAGUGUGGAAUGAGUCAAGUCCUUUGGCGCUUGACUGCGACUAAGUACUUGAGCAGCAAUUUGAUUAUUCAACAAUCUGUGACCAGUUUCUCAAGUUCUAUGUUGGGCAUCAUUGCCUACUGUUGGAAUUGGAACUCACUAGAAGAAUAGGACAGAUCCACGAAUCUUCCCUUGCUUUGGAGUGAACAAUUUCACACUCUUGCAUUAGAUAUUUUUAUUUCUUCUAAAUAUAGAAAUUGGAUCAAUCAUAUGCAUAUUUGUGUACAGCGGAUGUGUGGUGCACGGUGGUUGAUCUGCAGUGUUCGGUGGCUUAAUUGCUCAAGUUCUAGGCUGUAACUCAAGUUCUGCAACAAUCUGUGGAUGACCAAUUGCUUUCUCCGACGACGAUUUAAAAACAACAUAUACAGUAGAUGAAGAUGGAACAGUACUCUGGCGACCACCUGGCUCAUGGCACAUUAGCAAUUUGAUGGUCUUAGAAAGCAUCACAGUGUUGUUUCUUUCAGCUAUAUACAACUUCCAGAAAAUAAUGAAACCAGUAGUGGCGGAUUUGAAUGGUUGUUCAGUUUUAGUUUGUCAUGCUUUCAACUCUCAAAUAGUUCAUAUCUGUGAUUGUUAACA